UUAUCAAGAAUGCCAAGUACAUAGCAACACCAGGGAAGGGUAUUUUGGCAGCUGAUGAAAGUACCGGCACUAUUGGAAAGCGUUUAGCUAGCAUUAACGUUGAGAACAUUGAGUCCAAUCGUCAAGCUCUUCGUGAACUCCUCUUCACCUCUCCCAAUGCUCUCACUCACCUCUCUGGUGUCAUCCUCUUUGAGGAAACCCUUUACCAAAACACUUCUGAUGGCAAGCCUUUUGUCGAAGUUCUCCAAGAAAAUAAUGUUGUUCCUGGCAUAAAGGUGGACAAGGGCACAGUGGAAUUAGCAGGAACCAAUGGUGAGACUACAACUCAAGGUUUUGACUCUUUGGGCGCACGUUGCGCACAGUACUACAAAGCAGGUAUGUGUUGAAUUGUGUAAUCAUAUCAUUUUAAAGUUUAAGCUAUUACUAAAACCACACUUUUAAUUAUACUACGUCUCAACAUAUCCCUCAUGAGUGUUGUCCUGAUUCCUUUUUCAUGAGCCAAACACGCGGAA
RNAcentral lists this long non-coding RNA (512 nucleotides) under Nicotiana tabacum (common tobacco). RNAcentral's name for it is "long non-coding RNA (NTAB_LNC004646)". The record is from RNAcentral. Lineage: Eukaryota; Viridiplantae; Streptophyta; Magnoliopsida; Solanales; Solanaceae.